Molecule: ribosomal RNA, 324 nt
Filed under: uncultured Bacteroidota bacterium
Lineage: Bacteria; Pseudomonadati; Bacteroidota
Description: bacterial SSU rRNA
Rfam family: Bacterial small subunit ribosomal RNA
Source: RNAcentral
GAUGAACGCUAGCGGCAGGCCUAACACAUGCAAGUCGAGGGGUAAGGUCAAGCUUGCUUGACACACGACCGGCGCACGGGUGAGUAACGCGUAUGCAACCUACCUUUAACUGGGGCAUAGCUCCGAGAAAUCGGAAUUAAUACCCCAUAAUAUUUCGUUAUCGCAUGGUGAUGAAAUUAAAGCUCCGGCGGUUAAAGAUGGGCAUGCGUGACAUUAGUUUGUUGGUGAGGUAACAGCUCACCAAGACUACGAUGUCUAGGGGGUCUGAGAGGAUGAUCCCCCACACUGGUACUGAGACACGGACCAGACUCCUACGGGUGGCAG